This 253-nucleotide ribosomal RNA is filed under the name uncultured bacterium. RNAcentral's name for it is "partial 16S ribosomal RNA". It matches the Rfam family "Bacterial small subunit ribosomal RNA", at positions 524 to 776 of the family's 1533-position model. The record is from RNAcentral.
GACAGAGGGUGCAAACGUUGUUCGGAAUUACUGGGCGUAAAGCGCGUGUAGGCGGCGUAGCAAGUCGGGCGUGAAAGCCCACGGCUCAACCGUGGAAGAGCACUCGAAACUGCUGCGCUAGAGUUCUGGAGAGGAAGGCGGAAUGCUUGGUGUAGAGGUGAAAUUCGUAGAUAUCGAGAGGAACACCAGUGGCGAAGGCGAGUCUCUGGACAUUUCCUGACGCUGAGGCACGAAAGCCAGGGGAGCAAACGGG